CCGGGCGAGCGAAGGCUGCGGGCCGUUCGGUGCAUUUCCUUCCGUUCGAACUACGCUGCGACCGGUCUGGUCACUGAAAGUUGUCUGUCUUUGACAGCGGGCGAUGGAAGGUGGCCGGCGAUGAUUCUCUCUCGGGGGAAAUGUCGCCGGUGCUUAUUAGCCAGCUCGUUUUACGAGUGAGCGAUCACCAGACCGGGGACGAUUUUAGCCCUGUGCGGGCUACGCCGAACCCUCCCGAUUCGUCGGGAGCGUUGCGUCGGGACUGGAAGCGUUGGCGGUUAGGGGUUUCACCUUUGUGUGGGCUUCUGCCGUCGAUCUCCGUAAGCUCUCGUCGUACUCGCCGCGGUUCAGGUGGUCAGCAGCGAGUAGGUCGGUAACCCACCGACCCGUCUUGAAGCACGGACCAAGGAGUCUAACAUGUGCGCAAGUCAUUGGGUCUUGAAUAGGCCCAAAGGCGUAAUGAAAGUAAAGGCCGGUUCCGCCGGCUGCCUUGGGAUCCCCCGGACUUCGCGUUCGGGGGCGCACCAAGGGCCCGUCCCUUUCGCCUCGUCGACGGGGCGGAGCAAGAGCGUACACGUUGGGACCCGAAAGAUGGUGAACUAUGCCUGGGCAGGACGAAGCCAGAGGAAACUCUGGUGGAGGUCCGCAGCGAUUCUGACGUGCAAAUCGAUCGUCAGACCUGGGUAGGGGCGAAAGACUAAUCGAACCAUCUAGUAGCUGGUUCCCUCCGAAGUUUCCCUCAGGAUAGCUGGCACUCGGAGGAUGCAGUCUCAUCCGGUAAAGCGAAUGAUUAGAGGCCUUGGGGUCGAAAAGACCUCAACCUAUUCUCAAACUUUAAAUGGGUGAGAAGUCCGGUUUGCUCGACUGAAGCCCGGACGGCAACUUGGAUGUGAGUGCCAAGUGGGCCACUUUUGGUAAGCAGAACUGGCGCUGUGGGAUGAACCAAACGCCGGGUUAAGGGGCCCGAUGCAAGACGCUCAUGAGAUCCCAUGAAAGGUGUUGGUUGCUAUAGACAGCAGGACGGUGGCCAUGGAAGUCGGAAUCCGCUAAGGAGUGUGUAACAACUCACCUGCCGAAGCAACUAGCCCUGAAAAUGGAUGGCGCUUCAGCGUCGACCCCAUACCCGGCCGCUGCGGCCGAAAAGCCUUUGUGUUUUAAGCCGCAGUGAGUAGGAGGGGCGCAGAGACGAGCGUCGAAGGUGCCGGGCGUAAGCCCGCCUGGAGCCGUCUCUGGCGCAGAUCUUGGUGGUAGUAGCAAAUACUCAAGUGAGAACCUUGAGGACUGAGGUGGAGAAGGGUUCCAUGUGAACAGCAGUUGAACAUGGGUCAGUCGGUCCUAAGGGAUAGGAGAAAUCCGUUCCGAAGCGAGACCUCUCAUUCGCAAGUCUCGCUUAUGACCGAAAGGGAAUCGGGUUAAUAUUCCCGAACCCGGACACGGAGAUCGUCCCCUUCGGGGGUACAUUGCGGUAACGCAAACGAGCUCGAAGACGUCGACGGAAGUCCCGGAAAGAGUUGUCUUUUCUUUGUAAGGAUUCGACUCCCUGGAAUCGGCUCGCCCGGAGAUAGGGAUGGUGUUUCCGUAAAGCACCGCGCCUCUUGCGGUGUCCGGAGCGCUUCCGUCGGCCCUUGAAAAUUCGAGUGAGAGAUAGUGAUUUUCGUGCCGGACCGUACCCAUAUCCGCAGCAGGUC
RNAcentral lists this ribosomal RNA (1688 nucleotides) under Thrasychirus sp. CAS 9063504_2. Its description in RNAcentral is "partial large subunit ribosomal RNA". It matches the Rfam family "Eukaryotic large subunit ribosomal RNA", at positions 442 to 1865 of the family's 3401-position model. The record is from RNAcentral. Lineage: Eukaryota; Metazoa; Arthropoda; Arachnida; Opiliones; Neopilionidae.